GGGGAAUUUUGGACAAUGGGCGCAAGCCUGAUCCAGCCAUGCCGCGUGUCUGAAGAAGGCCUUCGGGUUGUAAAGGACUUUUGUCAGGGAAGAAAAGGCUGUUGCUAAUACCAGCGGCUGAUGACGGUACCUGAAGAAUAAGCACCGGCUAACUACGUGCCAGCAGCCGCGGUAAUACGUAGGGUGCGAGCGUUAAUCGGAAUUACUGGGCGUAAAGCGGGCGCAGACGGUUACUUAAGCAGGAUGUGAAAUCCCCGGGCUCAACCCGGGAACUGCGUUCUGAACUGGGUGACUCGAGUGUGUCAGAGGGAGGUAGAAUUCCACGUGUAGCAGUGAAAUGCGUAGAGAUGUGGAGGAAUACCGAUGGCGAAGGCAGCCUCCUGGGAUAACACUGACGUUCAUGCCCGAAAGCGUGGGUAGCAAACAGGAUUAGAUACCCUGGUAGUCCACGCCCUAAACGAUGCCAAUUAGCUGUUGGGCAACCUGAUUGCUUAGUAGCGUAGCUAACGCGUGAAAUUGACCGCCUGGGGAGUACGGUCGCAAGAUUA
RNAcentral lists this ribosomal RNA (548 nucleotides) under uncultured bacterium. RNAcentral's name for it is "bacterial SSU rRNA". It matches the Rfam family "Bacterial small subunit ribosomal RNA", at positions 356 to 896 of the family's 1533-position model. The record is from RNAcentral.